Molecule: ribosomal RNA, 390 nt
Filed under: uncultured bacterium
Lineage: Bacteria
Description: bacterial SSU rRNA
Rfam family: Bacterial small subunit ribosomal RNA
Source: RNAcentral
AACGAACGCUGGCGGCAGGCCUAACACAUGCAAGUCGAGCGGUAAGGCCCUUUCGGGGGUACACGAGCGGCGAACGGGUGAGUAACACGUGGGUGACCUGCCCUCAGCUCUGGGAUAAGCCUGGGAAACCGGGUCUAAUACCGGAUAUGACUCCAUGACGCAUGUUGUGGGGUGGAAAGCCUUGUGCGGCUGAGGAUGGGCCCGCGGCCUAUCAGCUUGUUGGUGGGGUGAUGGCCUACCAAGGCGACGACGGGUAGCCGGCCUGAGAGGGCGACCGGCCACACUGGGACUGAGACACGGCCCAGACUCCUACGGGAGGCAGCAGUGGGGAAUCUUGCGCAAUGGGCGAAAGCCUGACGCAGCGACGCCGCGUGAGGGAUGACGGCCUGG